This 468-nucleotide ribosomal RNA is filed under the name uncultured bacterium. Its description in RNAcentral is "partial 16S ribosomal RNA". It matches the Rfam family "Bacterial small subunit ribosomal RNA", at positions 28 to 507 of the family's 1533-position model. The record is from RNAcentral.
GACGAACGCUGGCGGCGUGCUUAACACAUGCAAGUCGAACGGAAAGGCCCUGCCUUUGUGGGGUGCUCGAGUGGCGAACGGGUGAGUAACACGUGAGUAACCUGCCCUUGACUUUGGGAUAACUUCAGGAAACUGGGGCUAAUACCGGAUAGGAGCUCCUGCUGCAUGGUGGGGGUUGGAAAGUUUCGGCGGUUGGGGAUGGACUCGCGGCCUAUCAGCUUGUUGGUGGGGUAGUGGCUUACCAAGGCUUUGACGGGUAGCCGGCCUGAGAGGGUGACCGGCCACAUUGGGACUGAGAUACGGCCCAGACUCCUACGGGAGGCAGCAGUGGGGAAUAUUGCACAAUGGGCGGAAGCCUGAUGCAGCAACGCCGCGUGCGGGAUGACGGCCUUCGGGUUGUAAACCGCUUUCGCCUGUGACGAAGCGUGAGUGACGGUAAUGGGUAAAGAAGCACCGGCUAACUACGUG